This 190-nucleotide long non-coding RNA is filed under the name Fukomys damarensis (Damara mole-rat). RNAcentral describes it as "lncRNA (ENSFDAG00000027158.1)". The record is from RNAcentral. Lineage: Eukaryota; Metazoa; Chordata; Mammalia; Rodentia; Bathyergidae.
UUAAACAUUUUUUCCUUUUCCACCCUGAACCUGCAGACUGUAUCUGAAUCAACCCAAGUAGUGGCAGUUCUCAAAAAUGCAAGUUAAAACAGAGCAGACAGCGUCGACGGGAAGGUGAACACAGGAUUUGUUGUGGUCCACUGACUCCAGGUAGAAACCAGAGAUUGUCACAACAUAACCAGAAGUAAAG